CGCGUAGGCGGCCAGCGCAGGUCAGUUGUGAAAUCUCCGGGCUUAACUCGGAAAGGUCAACUGAUACUGCGCGGCUAGAGUGCGGAAGGGGCAACUGGAAUUCUCGGUGUAGCGGUGAAAUGCGUAGAUAUCGAGAGGAACACCUGCGGCGAAGGCGGGUUGCUGGGCCGACACUGACGCUGAGGCGCGAAAGCCAGGGGAGCGAACG
RNAcentral lists this ribosomal RNA (208 nucleotides) under uncultured bacterium. Its description in RNAcentral is "partial 16S ribosomal RNA". It matches the Rfam family "Bacterial small subunit ribosomal RNA", at positions 568 to 774 of the family's 1533-position model. The record is from RNAcentral.